CAGCCGCCGCGGUAAUACGGAGGGUGCAAGCGUUAAUCGGAAUUACUGGGCGUAAAGCGCACGCAGGCGGUCUGACAAGUCAGAUGUGAAAUCCCCGGGCUUAACCUGGGAACUGCAUUUGAAACUGUCAGGCUGGAGUCUUGUAGAGGGGGGUGGAAUUCCAGGUGUAGCGGUGAAAUGCGUAGAGAUCUGGAGGAAUACCGGUGGCGAAGGCGGCCCCCUGGACAAAUACUGACGCUCAGGUGCGAAAGCGUGGGGAGCAAACAGGAUUAGAUACCCCUGUAGUCCCUGUCUCUUAUAC
Molecule: ribosomal RNA, 301 nt
Filed under: uncultured bacterium
Lineage: Bacteria
Description: partial 16S ribosomal RNA
Rfam family: Bacterial small subunit ribosomal RNA
Source: RNAcentral